UAACAGCCGCUAGAGACUCCUUCUGU
RNAcentral lists this non-coding RNA (26 nucleotides) under Rattus norvegicus (Norway rat). Lineage: Eukaryota; Metazoa; Chordata; Mammalia; Rodentia; Muridae. The record is from RNAcentral.